AUGAGUCGAGGGUCCUCUGGGCCCGAAACCUCCCAACCCUUUGUCUACUGAACCACUGUUGCUUCGGCGGGCCCGUCUUCUCACGAGGACCGCCGGAGGACCCGCCGUCACAGGCGUCCUCUGGGCCCGCGCCCCGCCGAUGGCCCAACCAAAAAAACUCUUUAUUGAACCGUGUCGUCUGUCUGAAUGUCAUAAUAAGCAAAUAAAUGCAA
This 212-nucleotide unclassified non-coding RNA is filed under the name soil metagenome. Its description in RNAcentral is "partial internal transcribed spacer 1". The record is from RNAcentral.